GACAAUCGUUUCCACCAUGGAGGUAAUACACUAGAUCUUAUGUAAGUGUGAAGUAGGCUUGACUUAGAUGCACCAUUAUCCAUACAAUUUUUUCUGACUGCUCAAUCUUUUAAUUGGUUCACUGUAAAAGCUUGAUUUGAAAGACAGUAAGGGAAAAAACCUCUAAACAUUACAAUGUUUGUUAUCAGGUGAGUCCAGAUGGUAAGCAA
This 209-nucleotide unclassified non-coding RNA is filed under the name Hevea brasiliensis (rubber tree). The record is from RNAcentral. Lineage: Eukaryota; Viridiplantae; Streptophyta; Magnoliopsida; Malpighiales; Euphorbiaceae.